This 1821-nucleotide long non-coding RNA is filed under the name Equus caballus (horse). RNAcentral describes it as "lncRNA (ENSECAG00000047220.1)". Lineage: Eukaryota; Metazoa; Chordata; Mammalia; Perissodactyla; Equidae. The record is from RNAcentral.
UGAUCAUUUUGAGUUUGGGGAUACAGGGAAGGUUUCAGGGAGGGGCUGAAAUAGCUACACUUUCAGCAAGAGAAGGGUGCGGGGAAUUUGGGAACGAUAGGAGCAAAGGCAAGACAGUGGUGGGAAGGGCAGCUAUGUUCCAGCACCAGUGGGUAAACCUGGGCAGAGGUCGUUGCGUGUGGUUUCGAGAGCAGUAAGACGGAAGGUCUGAUUCCGGUUAGAUGAUGUGCAGCCUUGAAUGGCAGAACCUUUCAACACUUCAUGUGCUAGAAACUAAGACUGGAGUUAGUACAGUGAAUACAAGUAAGUGUGAAGCAAAGAGUAGACAGGUGGGGACCAUUCCUCUCUACAAGUCCAAAACCACACUCUCCACCUCCUCCCAGUGCUGCUCCUGCUCCUGGCUCUCCUGUUUGGGUGUGUGAUGCCCCAUCUUCCCAGGCUGUCCACCAUCUCCAGCCGUUACAUCUCUACCCAGUAAUGGUCAUAGCGGUCCUUGAGUCAUUGUGACAAUCGAGAAUACUCCACUCCACAUCAUUCCGUAUUGAGAACCAUAGUUCCCAGCCAAUGCUGAUGCUCCCAUCCCCCUUCCUGUGAUGAAACACAAGGGGAAUUCUACUGGAGGCCUUUGGCACAAGGUGUUUCUACCUGAUAAAAAGAGACACUGGUGCAUAAACAUUACCUUUCUCUGCCCGUGGUUGUUAUAUGAGGAUAUGACGUCUGGGAGACUGCAACAUUCUUGCUCUCUUCAGGAGAGCCAGCCUGAGGAAGAGGCCAGGACAUGGAGCAGGGAAGAGCAGAAAGGUGGAAAGAGAAAGCUAUUCCUGCCACAGCUUCAGAUGUCCAACAAUAUCAACAGAAAAGAUAAAAAUAUCACAAAACUUCUUCCUCCCAGCAUCCAAAUUUCAGUGGAUUUUCUCUGCUUGAGCCUCACGCAUCCUUCUUAUUCCUAUCCUUGAUGCUGAGGGCUGGGGCCAGGAAUCUUGAUUGACAACUCCCCAGAAACACCUGGAAGAAGACAGAGCAAUUUCCUCAAAGAUCUAAGAGGAUUGAACAAAAAUCUGUAUACAUCAUCUAAUUAAAUAAAACUAAUUACACUUUAUCUUGGUUGAUGUAAUUUAUUGUCAGCAUGAAUUGCUUCAGCCAUUUUUCCGCAACCCAUAAGAUUUGAGCUUGAUGGUGUCUUGUCUUCACUUCUGAACUGCUGCAAGUGACGAGGUUAUGGCUUCGCUGGGACAAUGCCUCGGUCUGUCUCUGGGCUGUGUGGACGGAACUGCACGUUCUGGAUCCUCUGGAGAUGCGUGUUCGCUGACUUCUUGUCACGCCCACAGAUGACUGGUCUCGUAUGUUACCUUCUUGAUUUCUCUCUAUUUCACUCCAGGAUAAUCUUCCAACAAUGCUGUCACCCUUAGGAACUGAACUAAAUAUUUCAAUUCAAACUGAAAUCCACAUUUCUAUUUCCUUGACCUUUUGACCUCCAUCAUCUCUGUUACUUAUCUUCAGGUUGGAGGAGCUUUUGCAGGAAUGCAUUUUUUUUUUUAACCAAAAGAUGAUUGGAAUUACACAUGGAAUCUUCAAUUGUGCUUGUUCCGAAUAGCACUUAUCAAAUUCCCUUUUAAAACUGGAUAUUAUUGAGAACACUAAAACACACUCUCAACCUUCCAGAAAGUGAGGAAUUUUUUAAUCAGUUUGGAUGAAGCGUAUUUGAAGAGACAACUCACAGUAAAUACCUGUGCAUAAUUAACAUAAUUAACUGCAUAAUCAACAGCUCCUCCCGUGCAUGUCUGCAUCCCCAAGGAUCUCCUUCUCUGUGGUCUAUUUCUG